UUGAUUCGUCGCAACGGACUGUAUUGUAGACGACGUUUUACAGUAUGAAAUCGUUGAGUUGAGACUGCGUCAUUGAACUGCGUUAGCUGAGGCGCACGCUGCUAACCGACGAACGGGCUGUUGAUCGCGGCGCAAGGUCAACGUUCGACAAGGCCACGCCGCGACCCACCACGCACCACGUGCCGUCUCGUCUAGUCCGCCAGACGCUACCCCCACUACCCCCACUACUCACGCUCAGUGCGCCGCGGCUCGGCCAUCUCCGCCGCCGUUCGGCAAUCGUCGUUGAGCUGCCUCUGCUCUGGCGACGCAGCGCCACUGCUACCAACGUUACCGUCGCCAUACCGCGCAACACUGCGUAAUACUGCGCCAUAUUCGUUUCGCCGGUUGUCGGAUGUUACAACAAAGCGUUUCCGUGCUUCUCGCGUGUUCCAAACCCGAAUUGUGUACAUUAUACGGUCUCGAGAAUGUCGAUGUGAUUGCGGACGAGUAUUCUGAUACGCAAUGAAUCGCAGUGUCGCACGCAGAAGUGAUCGUUCUUGUUCGUAAUCGCGAGUAUCGUGUAUCCUUGUGGCGUAGCUUCGUCAAGUUCGUGCGCAAUCGUAUUCGUUGGAAUAGAAUGCUUCAUCUACGCAGUAGAAUAUCGCGAAUGUCAAGUGAACCGUUACUAGUCGUCUUGCGAUCAUGUCGAGUACAAGAUUUACAAUCGGGAGUGAGUUUGUCUCGUUUCUAUUUACGCGUGCAUCCAUUCAAACGACUCGCUGCUGUCUCAGGUAUCGUGACGCAUUGGUCGCUCGGUCCUUUUUGCAAUGUAAUGCCUGUUCUCUCGCGUGCAUUUCAUCUUUUAUUCGCGUUCGCGAUCGUGUGUGAUGAAAUAUCAGCGUAAUAUCGAGAGUGCCGAAUCGGUCGGUCGUGUGUACGGUUAACGUGUGUGGUUAGGAAACAACGAAACAAGUUGUCAGCAGACUUCCAUCCUGGAGGUGGCAUCCGUGGGGCAAUUUGAUUAAUGCAGUUUCAACUUCGUUAUGGUGCAUCAGUGUCGGUAAACCACUGGAGGUAACGUCGCUAUAACGCGCUUCGGGAUGCUGUUUGGCAAGUUUGUCUGGAAUACAACCGUCACCAUCGAACUGUCAAGACAGGUAAGAGGACUCUUUUUGCCCCCCCUCCCUUCCGUCUCUCUUCGUUGCGCGACCGGCUGCACAUCGCUACCUAGAAAAGUAGAAAGGAACGUCUCUCGCUCGUGGGAUGGUUUGAAUCUUUAAAGAAGGCGCAGUUAGUAACCAGAGAAGUACAAAUGGCUAGCGCCUUCGCCCAUCGAUUAUUUACGCGGGGUCACGUUAAAUAUGUACGCUUCCAUGGGGAUCGAGCAGCCGAACUGGAUGGGGGUGCUAGGGAUGGCUUCCUCGAUGGCAGGACGGGAUAGCGGGGAAGAAGCAAGUUUCACAGUCAACUGUCUCUCGCAAUACGCCUUGACGCUUCCUCCCAAGUCCCUUUCCUCUUGCUAAAAACGAGGGGGUGAUUUCCACCGUUUAUGUGCUUGGGGAACCGGCGAAUUAAAGAACGCGACCUUGACUCUGCUGACCUACAUUAGGGUCGAUGCACAUGACGGGGUGCAUAUUUUCCACGUGAUCGCGCGAUUAGGCACUAUGAAUCGCAAAGAUAGCCUUUACAUGUCAGUCAUGUGAAUAUAAUUGCUUGAUCGAACUCGAAAAUAUUGCAUCUUUCCAAAAUUCAGCAUUAAAUAUCCUGAUAGUCAGACGAAUUAAAUUCGACAAAGAUAAAAUUCAUUUGAAAAAAUUUAACUGCGUAAACAAUCAUUUUAUUUAAUUUGGUUGCAAAAACAUUUCAGUCAUUUAUAAAAUAUUACACUUAUGUUUAAUUGUUCAAGCUACCUACGUCAGAUUUAAAUUAUAAUAGUCAAAGACUUUGUAGAAAUAAUGUGGUGGACGUUAAAAUGUAUCUUUAUAGAGAUUGGAUAACAAAUUAUAAUAAUUCUUAAUCGCAUUAGACACGAUAAAUAGCAAAGAUGGCGUUUACAUGUCGAUCGCGUGAACAUAUAACAAUUACUUAACUGAAGUCACAACUUUUGUAUUUUUCCAACAUUUUGUAUUAAAUACUCUUAAGAUCCAACGGAUUAAAUUCAACGAAGAUAAAAUUCAAUUUGAAAAAGUUUAAAAGCGUAAUU
This is a long non-coding RNA of Solenopsis invicta (red fire ant), 2182 nucleotides long. RefSeq lists it as uncharacterized. The record is from RefSeq and is a predicted model, not a curated record. The transcript is spliced from 3 exons. Lineage: Eukaryota; Metazoa; Arthropoda; Insecta; Hymenoptera; Formicidae.